This 253-nucleotide ribosomal RNA is filed under the name uncultured bacterium. RNAcentral's name for it is "partial 16S ribosomal RNA". It matches the Rfam family "Bacterial small subunit ribosomal RNA", at positions 524 to 776 of the family's 1533-position model. RNAcentral also lists the same sequence under 1 other name. The record is from RNAcentral.
UACGGAGGGGGCUAGCGUUGUUCGGAAUUACUGGGCGUAAAGCGCACGUAGGCGGCGAUCUAAGUCAGAGGUGAAAGCCCGGGGCUCAACCCCGGAACUGCCUUUGAGACUGGAUUGCUAGAAUCAUGGAGAGGUGAGUGGAAUUCCGAGUGUAGAGGUGAAAUUCGUAGAUAUUCGGAAGAACACCAGUGGCGAAGGCGGCUCACUGGACAUGUAUUGACGCUGAGGUGCGAAAGCGUGGGGAGCAAACAGG